Long non-coding RNA from Oreochromis niloticus (Nile tilapia), 478 nucleotides. RefSeq lists it as uncharacterized. The transcript has 3 exons. Lineage: Eukaryota; Metazoa; Chordata; Actinopteri; Cichliformes; Cichlidae. The record is from RefSeq and is a predicted model, not a curated record.
GUCAGGUAGCUCUCUGUCUGCAGGCUGAUGUGUCAUGACAUGUCUACAGUCCCACAGGGGAUUCAAACCAGGAGGUUAAAUGUAUCCAUCCUCCCUUGAACCAGUGAUCGCACCCGCCAAUCAAGACCACAUUAAUCAACCAUCAUGUCAAGCGGCAUGGGACAGAGAAAGUGCUCAGCCCUCCAUCCAUCCAUCACUCUGGUUGUAACAUGUCAACAAUUUGCAUAUUGUAGGCAUAGAUACAAAUACCGUACAGACAGAAUGGCCAGUAAAGUGGAGAAUUGGCUUCAGGUGAUUUGGGGAAGAUCUUAUCUUCUGUUAACAGAGGAAUGACACCAUAAUGGAGCAGCAGGGGUGCAAUUACCUUUCAGCCCUCCUCCUCCUCCUUCUUCUCUUUUUCCCGCCACCUUCACCUCAGCCUUCUCUGACAAAUUAAGAUUAAUGAUGGAGAUAAGUAAGAAACCAGCCUGCCUUCCAA